UUUUUGAAUGGAAUGUGUUUAUUUUAAGCUCAUGUGGUGUGUUUCCAAUCAUUUUUACUGUGAAAUUUGGGAGUGUGCAUUUGGAAAUGCUUCACCUAAUCUCAGCCAAGUAAAUGAGAGUUUUCCUUCUGUUGAAGACAGGGAACUUCACAUAGUGCGUUGUAUUGGAAUCCACCAAAGGCACUGUUUGUUAGCUUUCAGACUGCAAUGAGAAAAUAAGACUCAAGGGCCUGAAGUUCUAACUAGUCAAAGAACCUAGAUUUUGUAUGAUGGGAAAGCUCUUUUGAAACCCAAGUUUGUGAGCUCCUUUUUAAGCUAAGAAACAAAUGUCACUUCUUAUAACAACACACCCAAUAGAUGGAAAAAAAACAAUAUAUGUUGUUUCAUAAGCAUCAUAUGCUUUGAGUGGAUGCUACCUUCCUAAGAUGAAACAAAAACCUUGAAAUUAAUAUUCCAUCUCUCUGGAUGCUCUUCUCAAUAAACAUAAUAAAAGAACCUGUAUAAAUUUAAACUUAAUUAAGAAUUUCUCCCACUUUGUUUUCUAACUUCCUCCUUAUCUUACUGUGAAGGGACAUUUCAACAAAGCAAUUACAUUCCACAAAGCUGCUUAUUAAAUACAAUUGUAACAUAUUUCUUUAACUGUGAUCAGUCUAGGAAAUUAAAACUAUAAUUUCUGAUUUCCACAGCGCAUUCAACACGUUUUCAUCUUCAUUGUUUCUACGCUGCAUGCCACGGUCAUCUAUCAUGGGGCAUCUAUACCCGGUUUCUCUCUGACUUCCCUGCUUCUACUGUCACCUCCGUCCUUCUUUCUGUAGCGAUCAGAGCCAUCAGUCUACUUCUUUCCUUAACACUCAUUGUGCUGUGAAUAAAAUUUAAAGUCCUUGCCUUGGCUGAAAGGCCGUAUGUGAUCUUGCCUCUAGCAUUCCUCUCUGAAUUCUUUUCCUACCACUCUCUCCUGGGUCUUGGCAAACUGUAGCCUUCUUAGCCAGACGUUCUCUGUGACCUCUG
RNAcentral lists this long non-coding RNA (1008 nucleotides) under Bos taurus (domestic cattle). RNAcentral describes it as "long non-coding RNA NONBTAT018157". The record is from RNAcentral. Lineage: Eukaryota; Metazoa; Chordata; Mammalia; Artiodactyla; Bovidae.